This is a long non-coding RNA of Sapajus apella (tufted capuchin), 214 nucleotides long. RefSeq lists it as uncharacterized. The transcript is spliced from 3 exons. Lineage: Eukaryota; Metazoa; Chordata; Mammalia; Primates; Cebidae. The record is from RefSeq and is a predicted model, not a curated record.
UGCAGUGAGCUAAGAUCAUGCCACUGUACUCCAGCCUGGGCGACAGAGUGAGACUCCAUCUCAAAAAACAACAACAAAAAAAGAGUGUUAUAGAAAUGGAAUCAUUCAGUAUAUGCCCUUUUGAGAUUAGCUUUGUCACUCAGCAUAAUGCCUUUGAGAACCAUCCGAGUUUUUGUGUAUAUCAGAACCAUCCAAGUUUUUACGUAAAUCAGAA